UAGGGAAUUUUGCGCAAUGGGCGAAAGCCUGACGCAGCAACACCGCGUGAGGGAUGAAGUUCUUUGGAGCGUAAACCUCUGUCAGUGGGGACGAAUUUUGACGGUACCCACAAAGGAAGCAUCGGCUAACUACGUGCCAGCAGCCGCGGUAAGACGUAGGAUGCGAGCGUUGUCCGGAAUCAUUGGGCGUAAAGAGUUCGUAGGCGGCAUGUCAAGUCUGGUGUUAAAGCCCGGGGCUCAACCCCGGUUUCGCACCGGAUACUGGCAAGCUAGAGUGCAGAAGAGGCAAGGGGAAUUCCCAGUGUAGCGGUGAAAUGCGUAGAUAUUGGGAGGAACACCGGUGGCGUAAGCGCCUUGCUGGGCUGUUACUGACGCUGAGGAACGAAAGCCGGGGGAGCGAAUG
This 403-nucleotide ribosomal RNA is filed under the name uncultured prokaryote. RNAcentral's name for it is "bacterial SSU rRNA". It matches the Rfam family "Bacterial small subunit ribosomal RNA", at positions 355 to 774 of the family's 1533-position model. The record is from RNAcentral.